RNAcentral lists this ribosomal RNA (302 nucleotides) under uncultured bacterium. RNAcentral describes it as "partial 16S ribosomal RNA". It matches the Rfam family "Bacterial small subunit ribosomal RNA", at positions 508 to 807 of the family's 1533-position model. The record is from RNAcentral.
GCAGCCGCCGCGGGAAUACGUAGGUGGCAAGCGUUGUCCGGAAUUAUUGGGCGUAAAGCGCGCGCAGGUGGUUUAAUAAGUCUGAUGUGAAAGCCCACGGCUCAACCGUGGAGGGUCAUUGGAAACUGUUAAACUUGAGUGCAGGAGAGAAAAGUGGAAUUCCUAGUGUAGCGGUGAAAUGCGUAGAGAUUAGGAGGAACACCAGUGGCGAAGGCGGCUUUUUGGCCUGUAACUGACACUGAGGCGCGAAAGCGUGGGGAGCAAACAGGAUUAGAUACCCCUGUAGUCCCUGUCUCUUAUAC